CAUAUGUCUUAGAAACCCUAUGCCAUGUUCAAUUUGUUUUGGUUUAAGAAGGAAAAUAGUGAGUUGUAUACAAAAAAUAGUGUAGGACAUAGUAGAGAUCAAUGGCUAGGAUUCAGCCUCCACUUUGAAAAUCUACGAAUGCAAACAUGUAUAAAAUGGUAUACAAGGUUUUUUUUCCCCUUCUUCCCCACCUAACACAGUCCAUUUCCAAACCACACUU
RNAcentral lists this long non-coding RNA (220 nucleotides) under Carica papaya (papaya). RNAcentral's name for it is "long non-coding RNA (CPAP_LNC009286)". Lineage: Eukaryota; Viridiplantae; Streptophyta; Magnoliopsida; Brassicales; Caricaceae. The record is from RNAcentral.